UGGCUGCGGUAACCUGACCGUGCAAAGGUAGCAUAAUCAUUAGUUUUUUAAUUGGAAGCUGGUAUGAAAGGUCGGAUGAGGGAAUUACUGUCUCUGUGUAAAUUAAUUAAAAUUUUAUUUUUAAGUAAAAAAGCUUAAAUUUUUAUGGUAGACGAGAAGACCCUAUAGAGUUUUAUUUACUUUUAUUAGAAUGAUUGUUUAGUAUUUAGUAAUUUUUCUUAUAAAAUUUAAUUUGGUUGGGGUGAUUGAAAAAUUUAAGAAACUUUUUUUUAUAAUAUCAUUGAUUUAUGAGUAUAUGAUCCUUUUUUUUAGAUUACAAGAUUAAAUUACCUUAGGGAUAACAGCGUAAUCUUUUUAAAGAGUUCAAAUCGAAAAAAGGGGUUGCGACCUCGAUGUUGGAUUAAAAUUUAUUUUUGGUGUAGGAGCUAAA
This 430-nucleotide ribosomal RNA is filed under the name Diaprepes abbreviatus (Diaprepes root weevil). RNAcentral's name for it is "partial 16S ribosomal RNA". It matches the Rfam family "Bacterial large subunit ribosomal RNA", at positions 1928 to 2566 of the family's 2925-position model. Lineage: Eukaryota; Metazoa; Arthropoda; Insecta; Coleoptera; Curculionidae. The record is from RNAcentral.